CCUACGGGAGGCAGCAGUGAGGAAUAUUGGUCAAUGGGCGUAAGCCUGAACCAGCCAAGUCGCGUGAGGGAUGAAGGUUCUAUGGAUCGUAAACCUCUUUUAUAAGGGAAUAAAGUGUGGGACGUGUCCUGUUUUGUAUGUACCUUAUGAAUAAGGAUCGGCUAACUCCGUGCCAGCAGCCGCGGUAAUACGGAGGAUCCGAGCGUUAUCCGGAUUUAUUGGGUUUAAAGGGUGCGUAGGCGGCCUUUUAAGUCAGCGGUGAAAGUCUGUGGCUCAACCAUAGAAUUGCCGUUGAAACUGGGAGGCUUGAGGAUGGUUGAGGCAGGCGGAAGGCGUGGUGUAGCGGUGAAAUGCUUAGAUAUCACGCAGAACCCCGAUUGCGAAGGCAGCCUGCCAAGCCAUGACUGACGCUGAUGCACGAAAGCGUGGGGAUCAAACAGGAUUAGAUACCCUAGUAGUC
This 460-nucleotide ribosomal RNA is filed under the name uncultured bacterium. Its description in RNAcentral is "partial 16S ribosomal RNA". It matches the Rfam family "Bacterial small subunit ribosomal RNA", at positions 338 to 795 of the family's 1533-position model. The record is from RNAcentral.